This 645-nucleotide long non-coding RNA is filed under the name Ovis aries (sheep). Its description in RNAcentral is "lncRNA (ENSOARG00000025966.1)". Lineage: Eukaryota; Metazoa; Chordata; Mammalia; Artiodactyla; Bovidae. The record is from RNAcentral.
AAACCCUUCUUCCCCUUUCAUUGUUUGCAAGCUUAUACCAACUAGUUAUUAAUUUGGUCUAAUUUUUUUUUAAGAGGAAUAUUCAUCUUUACUGUGAACUUCCCCCCCCUCCCCCCGGGCUCAUUAUGUUAAACAUUGCACUUAACCUACACUUUAGGGGGGGAAAUGUAGUUGGUUUAAACUGUCAGAGUGACUCAUAUAAUGGAAUAUGGGCUAACUGGAAGAAAAUAUUUAACUAAAAACAAAUAUCCCAGGGUUCACUCCACCUCAUUCCCAGCAGCAAAUUUGGGUUGUGUUUGUGCCUCCUGUCCUCUCCCAGGGGAAGAGCCUGAGGAGGGACCCAAGGAAAAGAAGAGGUUGGCUUGUUGCAAAUUGCUGCCAGGAAACUGUCAGUCUUCUAACCUAACACCAGUUCUUAUCAGAGAAACCCUGGAAAGGAUGAUCCCAUGUGCAAAAAAACAACUUUUAUUUGAAUGUGACAUCUACCUGCAAAGGAGCCAAUCCCCAGCACCACCAGUGUAUUGUGUCAUGCCAAAAGCCAGAGAAGCUCUAUGUAGGGUUUUCUUCCAAAUGCCAGGGCUCAGACUGCAGACGGUACCCUUGCUCAUUCUGGAGAACGUUAUCAACCUCAUGGUUUGGGGUUAA